AUCACGUGGAGUGUUCUUUUGAACUGUGUGGCCACAGACUGGUCGGCGGUGUGUGGCUGAAUGUUGACCUUCUCAUGCCUGCAGUCCACUUCGUCGAGGUUGUCGAAGACCUACCGGUUCUUGCCUUUGGACAACCCAUACCCGAGCUGCAGCCUGCAGAGUUCACGUUGCCAUGGGUGAAGCACCCGUUGCAGUCAUCGGGAGAGCGGAUGGCUUCAAAAAAGCAGCGAAAAAAUAUGCAGUCCAAGGGACCCUGGCGAUAGCUGAAAGGAGAGAGACAACAAUGCUCCUGAACUUUCGCCACAAGGACACCGGCGUGGGCCCUGCUCAGGACUGAGCCCCUGGGCACUGAGUGCCAGCUCCGACCAGCCGACAGAAGACCUGUCGCCGAGGCGCCCAGACAGUCUCCGGUCUCGCUGCAGGACACGGUCGCCAAAACCAACACAGAAACUCUCAGCCCCGGGCCCAGCGCGCCACGAACAUCACCGACGCGCGCACGCGUUUCCCGCCGCCCGUGAGGGAAAAAAGUGGAGAGAGUGUGAACAUGGUGGCGACGCCACACUAAAUAAAAACAAUCCACAUGCG
Long non-coding RNA from Rhipicephalus sanguineus (brown dog tick), 585 nucleotides. RefSeq lists it as uncharacterized. The transcript is spliced from 3 exons. Lineage: Eukaryota; Metazoa; Arthropoda; Arachnida; Ixodida; Ixodidae. The record is from RefSeq and is a predicted model, not a curated record.